CUAGGUCCUAGCCUAGCAGCAGCUACUUUAUAUUGAAUUCACGCUCGUUUCAUGCUGUUGUGAAGUGGUGGUUUUGGAAGGUUAGGAAAAAUGUUAACUUGCCAUUUCUGCAGCAAAACAUUACAAACCUUGAGGGGUUAUGUGCUGCAUUGUAAAAUCCACAGGAACGAGCCCCAUGCGUUUUUCAAAUGUGUUAGCACAGACUGCAAGCGGACUUUUAGUGCCUAUGCUACUUUUAAAAGUCAUUUCUAUCGAGUUCACAACAUACCUACUCCCUCUGUUACUGCUGGGGCCAUUUUUAGAGAUUUUAGGUGUGCUAUUUCGCUGUGUGAGUGUCAAUUUCACACAGUCAAAGAGCUUAUCUCCCACUUAAAAGAGCAUAUAGCGGAGGGGCGACCUGUGUCAUGCCCAGUAACAGGUUGUGAAAAUACAUUCACUGUUAAAUCGUCAUUUACUGCUCAUAUGUCACGAAAACACAGAAUGUGUUCAGUGGAUAGUAUAAGUGAGAAGUACCGGGAAAAUUUUUCCCAGCCCUCUGUCAGUGCAUGUGAAGAUCCCCAGAGCUCAAAUGAUGCUACAACAAAUGAAAGCAGUGAUUUGCCACAGGAUUUCAAAGACACUUUUCUUAGGAAUGUCUGUUUAUUCUACCUAAAAUUGCAAGGGCAGCUCCUUCUUCCAGCUUCAACUAUACAGACAAUCGUUGAAGAGAUUCAAAAUGUGCAUGAUUUGGGACAGGAUUACACUUUAAGUAAACUGCAGGCACUUUUGAAAAAUGACACGUGCCUAACUGAUGAUGCUAUUGCUAAAAUCUCUGAUUGUGUGAAGGAUUCAGACCUGUUUUCUGCCUGUCAUCAGGGGCCGCUGCGAACAACGUACUCGAGGGCUCAGACUUUCCAUAAAAUGUUUAAAUACAUAGAGCCUAAAAAAGUCAAAUUAGGAAAUGAUGAAAAUAUGACAGAGAGGUUUGCUUACUACGUACCUGUAACACAAACUUUACACAGCUUACUAGAAUCAGAUCUAUGGAAGAAUUCAGUGUUACAACAGUCUUGUGAUACACAGUCAGAAGACUUUUGUGACAUACGUGAUGGUCAAAACUUUAAGUCCAACCAGUUUUUCAUUGAAAAUCCAGGAUGCCUCAAGCUUAUUCUCUAUCAGGAUGCCUUCGAAGUUGUAAAUCCCCUUGGCUCAGCUAGGAAAAAACACAAAGUUCUUGCCGUCUAUCUUUCUGUGGCAAAUUUGCCUGCACAUGUGCGGUCCAAUACCGAUCACAUGUCCCUUGUGUUAUUGUGUGUAGAGAAUGACCUGAAACAGUUUGGAAUUGCUAAAGUCUUCUCAGAGAUGCUAGAGGAUUUAAAACAUCUUGAGAAAAAUGGAAUAACUGUUGGUGGUGAAACAGUCAAAGGGGGUCUAUAUUGUAUUGCAGGAGAUAAUUUGGGGUCACAUAGUAUUGGUGGGUUCACUGAAAAUUUUAGCCGUUCUGAGUACUUUUGCAGAUACUGUGAAAUCUCAAGAACCGGGUUUGAGAAUGAUCCAAAUGUUUGUGGUCCACAGCGCACUCCUGAAAGGUACAAUUCUGCACUGCUACAAGCUGAAGACGGACAAAGCAGUAGAGGCAUAAAGGGCUUACUCCUGAAACGGACAAAACGGACAGCUCAUCUGCUGUUGCUCCGGAAGGACCUCCUGUGUCCUUGGAGUCUACUUCACCCAGAAGUUCAUCAUCAACCUCUUCCAACAACUGCCAAAGCCCUAAUAUAGACUGGGUGGAUACUUUUUUGAUACCGUGGGAUAAGUUCCCAGAAGAACUUUUACAGUCACUUGAAAGAGGGAAACGACCAAAUCCACGAAUGAGGCGGGAAAUGGUCCGAAUCGUGGUCUCUGAGAUGAUGCAAAAUAGGUCUUGCAUUAAUAAAAAGAGCGCCACAGAAGUUGCAAAAAAGAUGGUGGCAAAAUACAUAUAUAUACAUAUAUAUACAUAUACAUAUAUAAAGUCUUUGCAAGAUGUAAUAGAGGGAGAUGUGAUUGGGACAGGCUACCAUUCUCUUGUAAAACAGCUUCAAAAUAGGAUCGAGAAUGUGAGGCGAUCUACAACCCCAAAAAUAAGAAAAAGGAAGCAUCACAAUGAUUCUGAUGGCACAGACGAAGUCCCUGUAGAGCAGAGAGCAGCAGUCCAAGACACCUAUGGAUGCACUAACUGGAAUUUAAAAUUCCUCCCCCUUGGAGAGACCCCAGAGAGCCAGCAAGAACAUGAAGAAAAACUGAAGAUGAUGUCUCAGCAACCUGAUGUUAAUCCAGACGAGGUCAAACGUCUGAUGAAGUUGACCUUUUACACGCAGCGCAAAAAAGUCAACCAGGGGCAAAAUAUCAAGAACCUCCUUGAUGAGUGGCCGUUUUUGUUUGAUGACCUGGGUAUGGCAGUCCACUUUCAGGAACUAACCGGAAUUGGGCUGAAAGAAGUUUUCUUGCGUAAUCUGGAGCUGAAGGGGAAAAGGCUCCUCAACUACAUGAACACAGUUUGUAUGCACAAGAGCAGAAAGUUCCUGCAGGCAGUAACAAAGUAUCAAGUGAUGAGGGGAGAGCAGAGUGGGUGUUCUGAAGACCUCAAAGACAUGAUGUUGCUUCUGCUGUCCUACUUUGAUGAAAAGGAAGAUGCCAUGUUCUUUUAUGUCGAGGACACAUGCCUGGCAGGGGAAGUACAGAUGGACCAGCUUCCCUUGACUCCGACGAUUGUUGUUUGUGGACGAUCCUGUUAUUCUGCAAAGCGCUUCAUGUUGAGUGUGGAUCGAAACAUUGUACAGGACAGCAUCCCCUCCUUCGUUUCUGCCAUAUGCCUGAUGUUUGGGAGCUACUAUUGCUUCAACAUACAUUACCCAGCAUGCCUGGCAUCAACACUGGAGUUUCUGCAGAGGUGCUUUUUCUCCAUUAACCCUGAGAAGGGCACUAAAGUAGAGAAGUCAAAAACAUCCCGUCUUCAUGUGAACCCCCGAGUCAUCACAUUGAUUCAAGAUCUUUCAGAUCACGAGUGGCGUGAUGCACAGUAAGCAUCAGCAGAAGAUUUUGUUUAUGUUGUGUAACCCUGGAACUGUAGUUUUAAGUCAAGGGUCCAUGUUAGUUCUAUUUCAGUACUUAUUUCAGUACACAGACACUUUCAGCCUCAAAGGCAGGGGAUGGGGGUGUAUUGAUUGUUUGUGUACGUGUGUACGUAUUUGUUUCUGUACAUUAGUGUACGUGUGUACGUAUUGAUGAUUAUGUACGUUAGAAAAUAACACUUUUUUUGUUUUGAGGAGUACACAAUAUGUACACUUGUUUCAUAGUUUUUUUUUUACCCCCAGCAGCUGUAGCAUUGCCUGGGGACCUUCAGAGCAAAGAGGGUGUCACUUGUACACUUGUUUAAUUGAUUGUUUUUCACAAGGGUGUCACUUGUACACUUGUUUGAUUGUUUCAGCAGCUGUAGCAUUGCCCUAGUUAAUCCUCAGUGCCAGUAUUUGAUAGAAUAUGAGGUUUGAGGUUAAUAAAUUCUUGGAGAGGCAA
This is an RNA transcript of Alosa alosa (allis shad), 3528 nucleotides long. RefSeq lists it as uncharacterized. Lineage: Eukaryota; Metazoa; Chordata; Actinopteri; Clupeiformes; Clupeidae. The transcript has 4 exons. The record is from RefSeq and is a predicted model, not a curated record.